GUGAGCGUAGCUCAACUGGUUAGAGCAUCGGACUGUGGAUCCGAAGGUUGGGGGUUCGAGACCCCUCGCUCACCCCA
This 77-nucleotide transfer RNA is filed under the name Acidobacteriota bacterium. RNAcentral describes it as "tRNA-His". It matches the Rfam family "tRNA". Rfam says of the family: Transfer RNA (tRNA) molecules are approximately 80 nucleotides in length. Their secondary structure includes four short double-helical elements and three loops (D, anti-codon, and T loops). The record is from RNAcentral. Lineage: Bacteria; Pseudomonadati; Acidobacteriota. RNAcentral also lists the same sequence under 3 other names.